This 405-nucleotide long non-coding RNA is filed under the name Elaeis guineensis (African oil palm). RNAcentral describes it as "long non-coding RNA (EGUI_LNC016400)". The record is from RNAcentral. Lineage: Eukaryota; Viridiplantae; Streptophyta; Magnoliopsida; Arecales; Arecaceae.
AAUAUUUAGUAAGUAGCAAUUAUAGUUUAGCAAUUUAAGAGUUAUACAAGAGAAGGAAGCAUCCCCCUUUUGGAGGUCGGAGUUCAAGAGAUAGCUUUUCGGUUACUCCGCUCUAUUCUCUUUAGCUCUACUCCGAUCUACCUGUUCGGCUCUACAAAUCCAGCUCUCUAGCUAUCUGACUCUCCGACGGCUCGACGCUCCUCUUCCGGCUCUCCAACUCUCCGCUCUACGUCUUUGACUCUACUCUAUUUUCUUUUGCUGGUUACAGGUUAGUUUUUAUUUUUUUUGUAUUUACUCAGUUUAGAUGGUAACUUAUGAUGAUGAGAGUAUUGCCGCCGUACAUAUUGGCAUUUCUCCUAUUUCUGAGGAAGAAGAAAUUCUUUCUACUCCCUCUGAAGCCCCUUC